RNAcentral lists this ribosomal RNA (403 nucleotides) under uncultured Acidimicrobiales bacterium. Its description in RNAcentral is "bacterial SSU rRNA". It matches the Rfam family "Bacterial small subunit ribosomal RNA", at positions 353 to 772 of the family's 1533-position model. Lineage: Bacteria; Bacillati; Actinomycetota; Acidimicrobiia; Acidimicrobiales. The record is from RNAcentral.
AGUGGGGAAUCUUGCGCAAUGGGCGAAAGCCUGACGCAGCAACGCCGCGUGGGGGACGAAGGCUCUCGGGUUGUAAACCCCUUUCAGGAGGGACGAAAUUGACGGUACCUCCAGAAGAAGCCCCGGCCAACUACGUGCCAGCAGCCGCGGUAACACGUAGGGGGCGAGCGUUGUCCGGAUUUAUUGGGCGUAAAGAGCUCGUAGGUGGCUCGGUAAGUCGGGUGUGAAAUUUCGAGGCUCAACCUCGAGACGCCACCUGAUACUGCUGUGGCUUGAGUCCGGUAGGGGAGCGUGGAAUUCCUGGUGUAGCGGUGAAAUGCGCAGAUAUCAGGAGGAACACCAGCGGCGAAGGCGGCGCUCUGGGCCGGUACUGACACUGAGGAGCGAAAGCGUGGGGAUCAAA